UACGAAGGGGGCUAGCGUUGCUCGGAAUCACUGGGCGUAAAGGGUGCGUAGGCGGGUCUUUUAAGUCAGGGGUGAAAUCCUGGAGCUCAACUCCAGAACUGCCUUUGAUACUGAGGAUCUUGAGUAUGGGAGAGGUGAGUGGAACUGCGAGUGUAGAGGUGAAAUUCGUAGAUAUUCGCAAGAACACCAGUGGCGAAGGCGGCUCACUGGCCCAUUACUGACGCUGAGGCACGAAAGCGUGGGGAGCAAACAGG
RNAcentral lists this ribosomal RNA (254 nucleotides) under uncultured bacterium. RNAcentral's name for it is "partial 16S ribosomal RNA". It matches the Rfam family "Bacterial small subunit ribosomal RNA", at positions 524 to 776 of the family's 1533-position model. The record is from RNAcentral.